Molecule: long non-coding RNA, 467 nt
Organism: Dermochelys coriacea (leatherback sea turtle)
Lineage: Eukaryota; Metazoa; Chordata; Testudines; Dermochelyidae
Exons: 3
Source: RefSeq, a predicted model, not a curated record
AGAGAUUGGUUCAUCAGAAAAUCCUGUUCAGAAUUAACUCUGAAGAAUCAGGGACUCAAUUUGUACAUCAAGAAAAGCACCAGAACUGUGGGGUUUUCACUGAAUGCUGAGGACAGGAAAGAGGAGUCUGAAGAAUGGAUACAUCCAAGUGUUUUUUAAUGAUUGAUAAAAAGAAAUCAAAAGAAAGUUCACACAGAAAUUUCACUUUUCUAGGAGACUGACUAAUGUACACCUUGAGGAAACUAUAGGAAUUUCCAAGACUUGUUUGGGACAAUACAUGUGAAGUAGGUUUCCUAAGAUGUACUUGGAAAGCCUUUAGAAGCUACACCUGGGGAGAGAAAACCAUUGUCUACUGAUUACUUACUCAGAAACUGCAGAUCAAAGACCUAAAAUUGUAUAAAGGAGGGAAUAAACUUCUCAUGAGGGUGCUAGUUAUGUGCUGAGGCUGUUAUGAACUUGUGACCAUA